Molecule: ribosomal RNA, 253 nt
Filed under: uncultured bacterium
Lineage: Bacteria
Description: partial 16S ribosomal RNA
Rfam family: Bacterial small subunit ribosomal RNA
Source: RNAcentral
GACGUAGGGCGCGAGCGUUGUCCGGAUUUAUUGGGCGUAAAGAGCUCGUAGGCGGCUCAUUGCGUCAACCGUGAAAACCUGCCGCUCAACGGUAGGCUUGCGGUUGAUACGGGUGGGCUGGAGUUCGGUAGGGGAGACUGGAAUUCCUGGUGUAGCGGUGAAAUGCGCAGAUAUCUGGAGGAACACCGGUGGCGAAGGCGGCAUCCUGGACCGGCAUUGACGCUGAGGCGCGAAAGCCAGGGGAGCAAACGGG